This 625-nucleotide long non-coding RNA is filed under the name Homo sapiens (human). Its description in RNAcentral is "HSALNT0399181". Lineage: Eukaryota; Metazoa; Chordata; Mammalia; Primates; Hominidae. The record is from RNAcentral.
CUCCAGCCUGGGCAACAGAGUGAGAACCUAUCUCUAAAAUAAUAGUAAGUAAAAAUAAUAAAUAAAUGAAGCUCUCUGCCCACGAUCCAAUCUCAGGGUAAGGAAUUGGCACAGCCUGGAUUUGAAGGUGGGUCUCUAUGAACCUGUGCUUCAAUCCAUCCCACUUCAUAAUCGCCUCUCCACAGGCCUCCAUCCAACCACAGCUGCACAGGCAUCAGAGCUUUGGUUCUACAACGUGAGCUGAUACCAAUAGCCCCUGGAGGGAUUGUUAAAACACUGAUUCCAGGGCCCUAGCCAUGGAGUGUCUGAUUCAGUAGGCCUUAGGUAAGGUCUGAAAAUCUGCAUUUCUAACAAGGUCCCAGGUGAUACUGACGCUACUGAUUCAGGGAUCACACUUUGAGAACCGCUGAAUAGACUGCCAUUCAAGCCAAGCCAAUCCUCUUGGCUCUACCUUCAAAAUAAACCCAGAAUCCAACCACUCCUUCCCACCUGCAUCACACUCCGGUCCCAGUACCUUCAUUUCUCACCUGGAUUAGUGCAGUCACUUCCUCACUGGCUCCGUACUUCCUGGACUCCCCACCUUGUUGCUUCUUCAAUAAAAGCCUCCCAAUGGCCUUCCACUCCU